AGUGAACGCUGGCGGUAGGCCUAACACAUGCGAGUCGAACGGCAGCACAGUAAGAGCUUGCUCUUACGGGUGGCGAGUGACAGACGGGUGAGGAAUACAUCGGAAUCUACUUUUUCGUGGGGGAUAACGUAGGGAAACUUACGCUAAUACCGCAUACGACCUACGGGUGAAAGCAGGGGAUCUUCGGACCUUGCGCGAUUGAAUGAGCCGAUGUCGGAUUAGCUAGUUGGCGGGGUAAAGGCCCACCAAGGCGACGAUCCGUAGCUGGUCUGAGAGGAUGAUCAGCCACACUGGAACUGAGACACGGUCCAGACUCCUACGGGAGGCAGCAGUGGGGAAUAUUGGACAAUGGGCGCAAGCCUGAUCCAGCCAUACCGCGUGGGUGAAGAAGGCCUUCGGGUUGUAAAGCCCUUUUGUUGGGAAAGAAAAGCAGCAGGUUAAUACCCCGCUGUUCUGACGGUACCCAAAGAAUAAGCACCGGCUAACUUCGUG
Molecule: ribosomal RNA, 492 nt
Filed under: uncultured bacterium
Lineage: Bacteria
Description: partial 16S ribosomal RNA
Rfam family: Bacterial small subunit ribosomal RNA
Source: RNAcentral